Quercus robur (English oak) is the source of this 2862-nucleotide RNA transcript. It is a transcript of the gene named pentatricopeptide repeat-containing protein At1g25360-like, with no coding region annotated. NCBI's taxonomy places the organism in Eukaryota, Viridiplantae, Streptophyta, Magnoliopsida, Fagales, Fagaceae. The transcript has 4 exons. The record is from RefSeq and is a predicted model, not a curated record.
ACUUUGAAGUUCAAACCUGAGUUCUUGUCUGUGCCCUUUCUUUUAUGCAUUGUUUCCUUUAUCAAGCUUCAAUUUUUGCAAGUUUUUUUGUCAAUCAAUUGAAUCACCUAAAACAAAUUAAAAAGAAAUAGCCUUAAAAGCACUAUCUUUCUUAUUGCUAAAUCAUUGAUUGGAGUCUAUAUGCAAUUGUAAAUUAUGGUAUUUUUAGGAUAUAGAUGGUGGUGUGGCACAACACUUGAAGGGAGGCUUGGGAGUUGGGAGGAAGGAUUCCAUUACCAAGGUGAAAUUAUAUUUUUACAGAACUUAAGGCUCCUUGGAAGUUGGAAGACAAUAAAUAUAAACCCAUGAUAUUUUGGACCCAUGGCUUCAACCAUAAAUUAAUGUAUCCUUUGCUCAGCUUAAUACAAAUUUCAGAACCACCAACGUUACUUCUGCGAACACUGAGAAACGCCAAGUAGUGGGAGACAUGCUCUGGAAAAAUUUAUCAUAUUCUAAAAGGAUCACUUCUUUUAUAACACAAGGGCAGAUUCGUCAGGCCCUAUUUACAUUCCAUCAAUUUCAAAGAGCUGGGUUUAAAAUCACGGAGUUUCUUCUGUCAGCAAUUGCAAGGGGCUGUGGGAGGCUUGGUACGAUAGAAGAGGGCAAGCAAGUUCAUUGCAUAGUAUUCAAACAUGGGUUUGAUAGAGAUAUGAUUUUGAUGACUUCCCUUCUCGAUAUGUACUGUAAAUGCAUUGAUAUCAAAGAGGCACGCCGUGUCUAUGAUGAAAUGCCCCAAAGAGAUGUUGUUGUAAACAAUAGCAUGAUUUUUGGGUUAUGCCGGUGUCACUUGACAUUGGACGCAAUGACUUUGUUUGAUAAUAUGUCUGAACGCGACGUGGGAUCUUGGAAUUCACUGAUUUCAGGGCUUGCUCAAAACUCAGAAGGAAGGAACGCGUUGUUUUUGUUCAAGAAAAUGAGAGUGGAGGGAGCUGAAGUUGAUGUUAUGACCAUGUCCGGUGUUCUUUCAGUUUGUGCUGAUCUUGCUGCUUUGGUUAACGGUAAACAAGUUUAUGGGCUAGUGAUUAAAUAUGGGUUUGAGCUAUAUUUACCUGUUGGAAAUGCCAUCAUUGACAUGUAUGCUAAAUGUGGAUGCAUGGAAGAUGCCUGCCAAUUUUUCAUGAACAUGCCAAUCAAGAAUGUAGUUUCAUGGACGUCUUUGAUCGUGGGUUAUGGAAAACAUGGCUUGGGAUUGGAAGCUCUUGAGGCAUUUGACAAUAUGGAAAGGGAAGGCAUUGUGCCAAACAAGAUCACAUUCUUGGGAACCUUAUAUGCAUGUAGUCAUGCUGGAUUAGUUCAAAAAGGGUGGAUGAAUUUCAACACCAUGGCACAUAAAUAUUCCAUCACACCCAUGAUGGAGCAUUACACAUGCAUGGUGGAUUUACUUGCACGAGCUGGGCAUCUUACGGAGGCUUAUAAUUUUGUGGAGAGGAUGCCAAUAAAGCCAGAGGCAAAGCUUCUAACAGCACUUUUUAGUUCAUGUUGUUCUCACAUGAAUGUAGAGCUAGCAAAGACUGUUGGACAGAGAUUAAUUGAAUUGGAACCUGAAGAAGCAGGAGCCUAUAUGUUGUUGUCCAACUUCUAUGGAAUUAUUGGGGACUUGGAAGGUGUAGCAAAUGUGAGAAAAUUGAUGUCAAAAAGGGAAAUAAGAAAAACAAAGGCAUGUACAUGGAUUGAGAUAGAUAGAAAAGUCCAUAGCUUUGAAUCAGGAGAUGGGUCUCAUCCCCUUAACAAAGAGAUAUACAAUUACUUGAAAAAUCUUGUUAAGAAGAUGAAGAAUAGUGGAUAUGUGCCUAACACAAGCAUGGUUAUGCAAAAUGUGGAUGAUCAUACAAAGGAAGAGAUGGUUCUUAGUCAUAGUGAGAAAUUGGCCAUUACUCUUGGCCUGAUUAUCAUGCCCCUGGGAACACGUAUCAUGAUAGUUAAGAAUCUUAGAGUAUGUGCAGACUGCCAUUUAUUUACUGCUUUGGUUUCAAAGAUUGAAGGAAGGGAGAUUGUCGCGAGAGAUUCUAGCAGAUUUCAUCAUUUCAAUAAUGGAUCAUGCUCUUGUGGAGAUCAUUGGUAGAGUUUGGCUCAUUUGCCUAUCCCGGUGGUUCUCUUUGUGUUGAAAAAACAUCCAGACCUUACAGGAUCUCAGGUUCGCGGACACCUCUGGUGAUGUUAUUUUCAAAGUCAACCAUCAAUCCUCACAUAAUAAUAAGAGGCCAUUCCUUGAUUCCAACGGAAAUCCCCUAAUUUCCAUCUACUGUUACCAUAAUGGGUCGUGGCAAGGCUUCAAGGCCGGUGAAGAUGAUCAAAAGUAGUGUUUAUUCAGAGUGUAGAGGACAGUGAACAAGCUCACCAGAACAAAGUUAGAGGUAUUUCUUGUUGGUGAGAAUGGGGAAGACUCAGCCUUUACGUUAAAGGUGAAAGGUUGUUCUUUCCAGAAGUCCUGCACUAUCUGCAGAGGCAAUGAUAUUGUGGCUCAGGUACAAAUAAUUGAUAGCUGUUGCUAGCAAUGAAAACUGAAGCCUCAAUGAAUCAGAUUUUGCUGCGUGUUCUGUGGAAUUUAUUUAAAUAUGCAACAAAGAUUAAAUUGUUUUAACCUUUGAUCAUCACCUUGUGGCCCCAUAAUGUGUUAUUGCUAGAGGUCAUGCCCUGCCAAUGAGGUUUAAGGAUAUAUUAGGUGUGUACCUAUCAAAAAAGGAUAUGUUUGGUGUGUAUUAUUUAUGUACAGACUAGAAAUUAUUGAAGAUUUGUAACAACAGCAUACAUAUGAUGAUGGGACAAAAGCAAUAUGCACUUGGUAUAAAUUUAAUAGCAUUGCUCUUCCUCUUUGCUCAACAA